GGCAUAGCUCAAAUGGUAGAGCAACUGACUUGUAAUCAGUAGGUUGAGGGUUCAAUUCCUUUUGCC
RNAcentral lists this transfer RNA (66 nucleotides) under Acidaminococcus massiliensis. It matches the Rfam family "tRNA". From Rfam's summary of the family: Transfer RNA (tRNA) molecules are approximately 80 nucleotides in length. Their secondary structure includes four short double-helical elements and three loops (D, anti-codon, and T loops). The record is from RNAcentral. Lineage: Bacteria; Bacillati; Bacillota; Negativicutes; Acidaminococcales; Acidaminococcaceae. RNAcentral also lists the same sequence under 3 other names.